Penaeus monodon (black tiger shrimp) is the source of this 589-nucleotide long non-coding RNA. RefSeq lists it as uncharacterized. Lineage: Eukaryota; Metazoa; Arthropoda; Malacostraca; Decapoda; Penaeidae. The transcript is spliced from 3 exons. The record is from RefSeq and is a predicted model, not a curated record.
UGAAGGUGGCAACCCUCAGUACCACCAGCAACCUUUUGUGAAAGUGAGCGAAACACCCCUUUUCAGUGGCAGUGGCAGGAGUGUCACCUGCGUCAGGCUUUUACAAGAGAACCAAUUAUAAUAAAUAGUGAUAUAGUAUUUUGAUAUAACCCCUGAAUCUCAGAAUAAGAAUAAAAAGUAUACGUUGAAAGACUACAAUUUCGAAGCUUCGAAACGUUAUUUCUUUUAUUGUUAUUUCUGUUUGCUUCGAUUUGAAAAAAAAUAUAUAUAUAUAUGACCUCCUUUUUCUGAAAUUUUCGUUCUGGAGGGAAAACAGGUGGUUGGGUGGUGAUCGUCUGGCCAUCGCGUCGUUAAGAUCGCAAAUCCUGAUUGGACGCAGGCUAUCAUCGACCUUAUAAGCAUGGGCGGCCUAUGGUGGGUGGCAGUGCUGGCGGCCGUGGGCGUGGUGGUGCCGCCCGCGAUGCCUUGUUCUUGUCUCAACCGCCACCCACAACAACACGUGUGCGAGGCGGAUUUUGGUAAGUACUCUUGUUAGUUGUUAGUUGUGGUUGUUAAGGGUUGGUUGUUGUGGUUGUUAAGGGUUGGUUGU